AUUUAAUCGUCUCUUUGUGCCAAAUUCGUUCUCAUUUUUCUACUGCUCUUGAUGUUCAGCCCACAAGAGCUUACAGGUGAAGGAAUGGGACAAGACCCAUCUUUAUGCAAAGCCAGCGUUACAGUAAUGUUCCAGGUAUUUCUGAUGACAGUCUGCCUCUAUCUUACAGAGCAGCUUGUUGCUAUAUACCAUUGAAAAGCCUUCAGAGCUAAGAGGUACUACUAACCAAUAACCUGCUUGGCUCAAAGGGCCAGCACCUUCUCUCUAAAGCCCAAGAGGAGUUUGAGGAAAACUAGGUGUCUCUGUUCACUCCAGGCUGAAGUUACAGGUUUGAGGAAAGGUGUAUAAAAAAUGGAAUCUGUCUUGGAGGACAUCAGAAGUUGAAUUUUCCAAGUCCUUGGACAACCUAGCUGUUGAAAAGCUUUCUGGAUUUGGGGGGUCUUUCAGAUGUACCUUAAAGUGUUAGCAGACACAGAUUAAGACACUGGGAGCCAAUGAAACAUAGCAGUUGAGGGUUUGCUAUGUAUCACAUUUCUGUAUUUUAUCACCUCCUUCCUGCAACAUUAUUUCUGUGGAAUCUACCUGCCCUUUUGUUUUUUAGAUACAAGGGCUUGGUUUUGUUACCAAGGCUGGUUUCAAGGCCCUAGCUUUAAGAGAUCCUCCCACCACAGAUUUCCAAAGUGCUGGGAUUGCAGGUAUGAUUAGUGGCACCCAGACUUUGCUGCCUUUCUUACAUGAUCAAGGCCCGGAACCCAAACUCAGGCACUGCAUAGAUGACCA
RNAcentral lists this long non-coding RNA (780 nucleotides) under Pongo abelii (Sumatran orangutan). RNAcentral's name for it is "lincRNA". The record is from RNAcentral. Lineage: Eukaryota; Metazoa; Chordata; Mammalia; Primates; Hominidae.